AUGGAGAGUUUGAUCCUGGCUCAGGACGAACGCUGGCGGCGUGCUUAACACAUGCAAGUCGAACGGUGACGGAUGGAGCUUGCUCUGUCUUGAUCAGUGGCGAACGGGUGAGUAACACGUGAGUAACCUGCCCCAGACUCUGGAAUAACCCCGGGAAACCGGAGCUAAUACCGGAUAUGACACCAACCUGCAUGGGUAUGGUGUGGAAAGUUUUUCGGUCUGGGAUGGACUCGCGGCCUAUCAGCUUGUUGGUGAGGUAAUGGCUCACCAAGGCGACGACGGGUAGCCGGCCUGAGAGGGCGACCGGCCACACUGGGACUGAGACACGGCCCAGACUCCUACGGGAGGCAGCAGUGGGGAAUAUUGCACAAUGGGCGAAAGCCUGAUGCAGCGACGCCGCGUGAGGGAUGACGGCCUUCGGGUUGUAAACCUCUUUCAGCAGGGAAGAAGCGCAAGUGACGGUACCUGCAGAAGAAGCACCGGCUAACUACGUGCCAGCAGCCGCGGUAAUACGUAGGGUGCGAGCGUUGUCCGGAAUUAUUGGGCGUAAAGAGCUUGUAGGCGGUUUGUCGCGUCUGCCGUGAAAAUUCGAGGCUCAACCUCGAACUUGCGGUGGGUACGGGCAGACUAGAGUGUGGUAGGGGAGACUGGAAUUCCUGGUGUAGCGGUGAAAUGCGCAGAUAUCAGGAGGAACACCGAUGGCGAAGGCAGGUCUCUGGGCCACUACUGACGCUGAGAAGCGAAAGCAUGGGGAGCGAACAGGAUUAGAUACCCUGGUAGUCCAUGCCGUAAACGUUGGGAACUAGGUGUGGGUCUCAUUCCACGAGAUCCGUGCCGCAGCUAACGCAUUAAGUUCCCCGCCUGGGGAGUACGGCCGCAAGGCUAAAACUCAAAGGAAUUGACGGGGGCCCGCACAAGCGGCGGAGCAUGCGGAUUAAUUCGAUGCAACGCGAAGAACCUUACCAAGGCUUGACAUAUGCGAGAACGCGGCAGAGAUGUCGUUCUCUUUGGACACUCGCAUACAGGUGGUGCAUGGUUGUCGUCAGCUCGUGUCGUGAGAUGUUGGGUUAAGUCCCGCAACGAGCGCAACCCUCGUUCUAUGUUGCCAGCACGUGAUGGUGGGGACUCAUAGGAGACUGCCGGGGUCAACUCGGAGGAAGGUGGGGAUGACGUCAAAUCAUCAUGCCCCUUAUGUCUUG
Molecule: ribosomal RNA, 1199 nt
Filed under: Salmonella enterica
Lineage: Bacteria; Pseudomonadati; Pseudomonadota; Gammaproteobacteria; Enterobacterales; Enterobacteriaceae
Description: bacterial SSU rRNA
Rfam family: Bacterial small subunit ribosomal RNA
Source: RNAcentral